AGAUUGAACGCUGGCGGCAUGCCUUACACAUGCAAGUCGAACGGCAGCACGGGAGCAAUCCUGGUGGCGAGUGGCGAACGGGUGAGUAAUAUAUCGGAACGUGCCCAGUCGUGGGGGAUAACGCAGCGAAAGCUGUGCUAAUACCGCAUACGAUCUCUGGAUGAAAGCGGGGGACUCAGCAAUGAGCCUCGCGCGAUUGGAGCGGCCGAUAUCAGAUUAGCUAGUUGGUGGGGUAAAAGCUCACCAAGGCGACGAUCUGUAGCUGGUCUGAGAGGACGACCAGCCACACUGGAACUGAGACACGGUCCAGACUCCUACGGGAGCAGCAGUGGGAAUUUUGGACAAUGGCGCAAGCCUGAUCCAGCAAUGCCGCGUGCAGGAUGAAGGCCUUCGGUGUAACUGUCUUUGUACGGAACGAACGUCUACUUACUAAUAAGAGGACUAAUGACGUAACCGUAAG
RNAcentral lists this ribosomal RNA (460 nucleotides) under uncultured soil bacterium. Its description in RNAcentral is "bacterial SSU rRNA". It matches the Rfam family "Bacterial small subunit ribosomal RNA", at positions 26 to 484 of the family's 1533-position model. The record is from RNAcentral.